UUUUUUUAUUUUGUAAUAUUCUGAAAAUUUUAAUAAAUAUAAAAAAUAAAUAAAUAGGAGAAGGAAGAAUCUGAUCUGAAACUUCCGCUGUCUUGCAGGAUAUCUUUGGGAGAAGAAAAGACUCAGGGGUAAACCCUACACGAAUCCAGAGUGGAGUCCCUAAGAUGGUUUGAGGGUGCCUUGUACACCUCCUUCUGGCAACUCCUGCAGCCAAGCUGGUGGCAACUGCUUUCCUUUGGACCACAUCAGUGAGGCCAAAAGGGAGGUCUUGUCUGGUCAGCCUAGGACCACCAGACACACUGCCCAGGUUUGCACCCCAGGCAGGUCACUUCAGUGCCUCUAACACAACCAUUUGACUUCACCAUUGUCUAUCGAGACAGAUGGAUGCCAACAGCAAGUCACAAGGUUCAGUGUCCCAGGAAAUUAUAACUUUGUCUAAUUCAAGACUGAUGAGAAGUCAUAUUUUCUUUAAGAUGUAUUGAAAUUCUGGACUUUAUUGGUCUGUCUGCUUCACCUAUUUUUGUUAAUUUCUGUUCUUGCAGGAAUAUUGACUUCCAUGCCACUUUGGCAUAGCAGAUGGUGAGGAGUGUCUGGAUGCACAUUCUAUUACUGUUAAGUAACUGUGACAGCAGGAAGUAAAAGAUGUAUGGUCAGCUAUUCUACAGGGAGGCAAAAAAGGGCCAGUCAGCAGAUGGGAUCAGGCAGAAGCGAACCAAUGGUGGCUAGGCUGAUUCAGGUGGGGGGGUAGAAACAGCCUGAAUAACCCAAAUGCCAAAAUCGCAUUAUUUCAGAUGGUGAAAUUCCAAGCACACUAUAAAGACUUCCAAAGGAACCUCCCCAAGCCUCGGUGGGUGGGCAACAAACUCCAUGUGGCAAAUGGGAUUCCCAUACAAAGAGAGAGAUCUUGGGACAGAAACAACACACAAAAAAGCAACUACUUUGAGUGCACUGUUAACAGAUCACUGAAUGUUCAAGCAGUGAGGAAGUAAAAAGUAAACACAACAUCAAGUACCAUAAUUCAAUUUUCUUAAUCUAUCAUGUUUAGAAUAUACAGUGUGUAGAGUUCCAGUUGCCCCACUGCAAAACGUAUAUAUUGUGUAACUAAAAAGGGUAUGGAAAAGAGUAUCAAAAAUUAAUAUGAACAUAAGUGCAGAUCCUUCCUUAUAAGGAAAGAUUAAAAAGUUUGGUCCUUUUUAGGUUACACAUACACACAUGAGACUUAUAAAUAAGUGCUUUUAAGAAAGUGGAUAGAAAGAUAUUUCUUUCCCCCCAGUAGUAAAAAUUGGGGUCACUCAGAGACAUUGACUGAUACUUCACUCAAGCCAUAGUAAGGGAUCUGCUAUCAUAAGAUAAUAGCUAAUUCAGAAGGGUUUCUUUACCAAAGGUUACUGAGACAUUUAGUGGACGAUAGGUUUCGUUUCCCCUUGGCUAUCAACCACAAUGGCUAAAUAAACCUUCAGAAUCACUCACUGUCAGUUGUUCGGAAGAAACAACAACAUUGCCUUCCAGACCUGCUUGCAGGCUCCCCAGAUGCCUCUGUCUGGCAACUGUCUACAUGAGGUCCUGAAUGAGAUAGAUUUUUAUAAAGCAUGCAAGUGGUUGGCCAAGGUAAAGCCAAGACAUGAUGAGGGAAAGGAUAACUGGACAUCAGUGCAGUGGUAUUCUUUUAGCUUUCCUUCUUUGCACCCAAAUGUUUAAAAUGGAUAAAUUUUUCUAGGGUUCUGUAUGUACAUACAGAAUUAAAGGUGCCUGCUGUUCACAUUUUCACUGGGCCCUUGAAACUUUGGCAGAUGCCCUAUGCAUUGGAGUCCUCCCCCCACAAAAAAAUCCUGAUCAAUAUUUUUAUUCAAUAGUGAGCACUUUAUGUGGCACAAAUGCUUAAUAUGAUUGUCUAUUAUAAAAACUUGAUUUCUCAUGGUACUUUCAUCUGUGAAAAUCAAAUUUAUCUAUUAUUAAUCUGCAUUUUGAUAUGGAUAUAUAGUUUUCUUUCCAAAUACGUUUUAUACUAAUCUUUUUGAUCCUUUAAUAUGGGAGGCUGGCAAUUUGUAAUUUGGCUUUACAUAGAAACGAUCAAUUGUCAGGCACAUAGUGAAUUGUCUUUGUCCUUCAUUGUCACAGAGCAUUAUCUAAUAAAUUGAAGAUAGCUGAACUAAGACUCUUCCUCCUUCUGCCGGUAAAAGCACAUUAUUGCUUUCUCAGUGAAGGAUUUCUGCAUAGCUUUCUUUUAGUCUUACUGAAGCUGGCAUGCAAUGAGCAGUACAUAAUGAUUUUGUGGUUAGGGUGCCUUUGUCUGAUUUGAUGGGUGAAAUCCACAAGUAAUGCCUGCAAUUAAAACAGUGAAUGCC
Non-coding RNA from Podarcis lilfordi (Lilford's wall lizard), 2345 nucleotides. NCBI's taxonomy places the organism in Eukaryota, Metazoa, Chordata, Lepidosauria, Squamata, Lacertidae. The record is from the annotation of a GenBank genome assembly.